AUCCUUGCGCUUGGGGCAAUGACGCAGCUAAUGAGGUUAUACCGAGGCGCGUCAAUUGCUGGUUGAAAACUACUCCCUCCGUUCCGAAUUACUCCCAGUGUAAACUAAUAUAAGUACUCCCUCUUAUAUUAGUUUAUGGAGGGAGUACUUGUUUUGCAUUUGUCUAAAUACA
RNAcentral lists this small nuclear RNA (172 nucleotides) under Triticum aestivum (bread wheat). Its description in RNAcentral is "snRNA U4". It matches the Rfam family "U4 spliceosomal RNA". Rfam says of the family: U4 small nuclear RNA (U4 snRNA) is a component of the major U2-dependent spliceosome. The record is from Rfam by way of RNAcentral. Lineage: Eukaryota; Viridiplantae; Streptophyta; Magnoliopsida; Poales; Poaceae.